RNAcentral lists this ribosomal RNA (481 nucleotides) under uncultured Bifidobacterium sp. Its description in RNAcentral is "bacterial SSU rRNA". It matches the Rfam family "Bacterial small subunit ribosomal RNA", at positions 157 to 640 of the family's 1533-position model. The record is from RNAcentral. Lineage: Bacteria; Bacillati; Actinomycetota; Actinomycetes; Bifidobacteriales; Bifidobacteriaceae.
UGGGUGGUAAUGCCGGAUGUUCCACAUGAGCGCAUGCGAUGCGAUGGGAAGCUUUUUGCGGCAUGGGAUGGGGUCGCGUCCUAUCAGCUUGUUGGUGGGGUAACGACCCUACCAAGGCGUCGAUGGGUAGCCGGCCUGAGAGGGCGACCGGCCACAUUGGGACUGAGAUACGGCCCAGACUCCUACGGGAGGCAGCAGUGGGGAAUAUUGCACAAUGGGCGCAAGCCUGAUGCAGCGACGCCGCGUGCGGGAUGGAGGCCUUCGGGUUGUAAACCGCUUUUGUUCAAGGGCAAGGCAGGCUUUCGGGCCUGUUGAGUGGAUUGUUCGAAUAAGCACCGGCUAACUACGUGCCAGCAGCCGCGGUAAUACGUAGGGUGCAAGCGUUAUCCGGAUUUAUUGGGCGUAAAGGGCUCGUAGGCGGUUCGUCGCGUCCGGUGUGAAAGUCCAUCGCUUAACGGGUCCGCGCCGGGUACGUAGCGUG